This 5435-nucleotide long non-coding RNA is filed under the name Homo sapiens (human). RNAcentral describes it as "HSALNT0142427". The record is from RNAcentral. Lineage: Eukaryota; Metazoa; Chordata; Mammalia; Primates; Hominidae.
CGAGCUUCCAGGCCGCUUUGUUUAUCUACUCAAGCCUGACCAAUGGCGGGCACCCCUCCCCCAGCCUCGCUGCCGCCUUGCAGUUUGAUCUCAGACUGCUGUGCUCGCAAUGAGUAAGGCUCAGUGGGCAUGGGACCCUCCAAGCCAUGCGUGGGAUAUGAUCUCCUGUUAUGCCGUUUGUGAAGCCUGUUGGAAAAGUGCAGUAUUAGGGUGGGAGUGACCUGAUUUUCCAGGUGCCGGCUGUCACCCCUUUCUUUGACUAGGAAAGGGAAUUCCCUGACCCUUUGUGCUUCCUGGGUGAGGCGAUGUCUCGCCCUGCUUCGGCUCAUGCACGGUGCGCUGCACCCACUGUCCUGUACCCACUGUCCGUCACUCCCCAGUGAGAUGAACCCGGUACGUCAGUUGGAAAUGCAGAAAUCACCAGUCUUCUGCGUCGCUCAUGCUGGGAGCUGUAGACUGGAGCUGUUCCUAUUCAGCCAUCUUGGCUCCACCCCGUCUUGUAGUAAAUAUCUAAAUUAUCUGUGGCAACAACUUGGUGGGGUCAACUCGAAUGUUUUUGUCGGCUGUUCUUGAAGACUUCUGGGUCUCUACAACCACAUUCUUUGGCUGGUGCCAGUGUUUAAGCACUCUGAAACUGCAUAGCAGCAUGUUUGAAGGUGGCCUGUCAAAUUUGGGAAACUGACGGUGUGACUGAGCUAGUCACAGGGGUCUUCACAGAAAAGGCAGUCGGGGUCCUGGUCAACUGGAGAUUCCAUCUGAAUGUGAAUGGAUUUAAAAGGUGACUGGAACACUUCUUUCUGACCUCAGAGAUGUGAUGGAUGUCCGGGAAGAUUUUCUCAAGGGCUAGAAGUUAAGAACUUUGUUCCUACUGUUUAUCUUUUUCCCUUUCAUAUUCAAGCCACUUAACCAUACUGAGCCUCAACUUUUUCAUUUAUAAAAUGGAAAUCAUUUUAACUUUUCUCUGGAGGACAGCUGUUGCCUGCCCAUCACUAUUUCCUCCUUUUCUGGUGACAACAUCCUACUUUCCUUCAAAGAAUAAUGCCUACCCCAUUAUAAUAACUUUUACACGGGGCUGUCCCAACACAUGCUGCCUUCAAGGCUAGGUGCAUGACACAGGCCUGGCCAAUCAGUGUGUCCAAUCCCUCUGGCCACUGUGAUUGGUCCAGUUACGGGUAUAUGAUGCAGAUCAAUCCAGUAAAACUCAACCUCGUGACUUUUACUGGAACCAUCAGUCAAGACGCCUUCUUUUUCUGUGAGUUUUCCAGGCUAGGAGAAGGAAAGUUAGAGCCCUGGGAUGCCACGUCAUGAGAAAAGCCUGCCAGAGAGCAAAACUAGCACAAAGGAAAGAAAGUAUUCCAAUAAAAGGGUGACGCUGAAAGCUGAAAUGUGAAUUUGUUAAAUCCUCAAAUAGCCAACAGCUUCUAGGACAAGAUCAUACACAGUUAGGACCUCGAUAACAAUUUGUUAGUGGAAUAGAUAAGAACAUUUUAGAUCCUGUUGCUCAAUUCUGAAAUGCUGCUCUGUGUCAUGAAUAUUGGUUUAUUUUCUUUGUAGAGUGAAGUCAUUAAGACUAGAGCUCCAGGCUUCUUCAUCCAACUCCAAGGGUUCCCAGCAACAUGUGAAGUCCUCUAUCUGUCACUAAGAAGCCGUGUGAGUGAAGCAGGCUAUAUACCUUGGUUUCAACAUCUGUGAACAAGCAAUGGAUGGAUGACUCACCUCUCAUAGGAAUGAUAGAACUUGGAUCAUCUUGUCAAUCACAGAGCUUGGUGGCCUUCUACAAAUGUUUGUGGAAUGAAUAAGUGAGAGAAUGAGAGAUUAAUAAAGCCAAUACUAUCACCAGUCCAACGAAGAGCUGCAACUGAAAAAAAAGUCUGACAAAAUGAGAAGAAUACACCUUGGCAGCUGCUGGAUCAAGGCAAAUGAGAGACCCAUGGAGCUCACUAAAUCCAACUCUACAGCUUGGAGCUAAGCCUAACUUAGCCAAGUCUAAACCAGUUUGACCUCAGCCAAUUCACAGAUGUUUGAGCCAGAAGUAAGGUGCUUGUUGCUGGAAGCCAGUUAAAUUUUGAGAUCUUUUUGAAAAAUAUAUUGUCAUUGCAGACAUAGAUGCACAUAGUUUUCCACACUGUGGGAAGUCAAAUUAAGCAUGCUUAGACUUUUAAAGCAGAAGCCCAUUAUUAGUGGGGUGGCAAAAAUGUUACAAGUGACAUAGUCCUCCAAUUUCCUUCUUCUAGCCCUCUGCCUAAGAACUAGUGUACUUCAUUUUGAAGUGGAGCCCUAACGGGAGUGUUCAUCUUCUGUCAACAGGGUUAAGCCUCUUGACGCUUACUGGGCACUCACAGUUGUUAGUUCCCUGGAAGACAUGAAAGAGCUUGAUUGGUUCUGUAGUCGUCAGUCAAUAACCAACUGUAACAUACCUACACUUCCAACAAAAUCUUGAUUUGGGAAAUUGAGUGUCUGCUUAUAGUUAAUCCUCUAUUUUUUGACACCUAGUAGGAAAAACAUUUUCAAAAGAGCCAUGACCUGACUCAGUUAAUAUGCAAGGAAAAAUAAGCAGUUCCAAACUUGUCAGUUUAUCCAUCAUCCCUUAUCCAAAAUCCUUCAACUCUCUUGGAAUUAUUUUGUUCUUCAUACUUGCCCAACAAAUAUCUUACUCUUGUCUUGGACUUUAUUUUAUAGUUAUCUCACAUAAGCUCCUUGUGGCUAAGGGCACAUAUUUGGAAUCAGACUACCCUAGUUCAACUCUUGGGUCUACCAUUUAUUAGCUUGUAUUACUUUGGGAAAGAUAAUUAAAUUCUCCAGAUCUAAUUUCCCCCAUUAUAAGAUAAUAAUAGUUAUUACCUGCUAGGAUUGUCUUGAGAAGUAAAUUAGAUAAUUCAUAAGAACCAUUUAACACAGUGCCAGCCACAUAAUGAAGGCAUAGUAAGGGAAAGUUAUUAUGCUGUUGAUAAUACUUGUCUAGGCAGGGGUCUCAUAUUUUUCCCUGUAUCCAUUACUGUACAAUUCAUCUGUCCCAUGACAUUCUAAGAUUGUUUUAGAGUGAGUUGCUUCAGAGUUGAAUAAUUCUAAUAAUAUAUUCUCAUGUUUGGAAACAACUUGGAAUUCCAUUUAGUGUAGACAUCAACAAUGAAAUCGCUAGAGGAUGAGUAAUUUCUACAAUUUUUAUUCAUUAUAGAGAGACCAAUGGGUAUAAUGGUGAAAAGAACUGAGUAGAAGGUCAGGAGGUCAAAGAGACUGAGUUUAAACCCUCACUCUGCUGAGUACUGUUAAUAAUGGUAUGAUCUUAAGAGAACUAAUCUUUAGUUUUUCCCACCUUAAAAACAGAGUUGUCAUGAGUAUUUAAUAAUAGAGGGUAGUAUGUAAACUUCCUGGCAUAUAGCAACUGCUCAACAAAUAGAAGUUAUAGUUUUUUCUUAACUUGCCAAAGAGCCAAGGGAAAAAUGAAGAUUUUGUAGCCAAAGCCAUUUAUCUUUCUCUGUUAUGUGCCUAUCUGUUCCAGAAACAGAAUCAAUUCCUUGAACCUCAUCAAAGGAAGGAUUUGAACAUUUAAAAAAAAAUCAAUCUCUUUGGGUUUGUUAUUGCUUGUUUCCCAUACCUCAGAGACACAAAUACAAACCUUUAUAAUGUCAUCAGGAAGAAGAGGAGUCAAACACUCCUUAACUCAAUAAUUGCAAUGUUAUUAUUUUGCAAGGAAUAGAGUCAAAAUUCCAUUCACAUGAGGACUGUAACUUCUUCAUUACUCCUUGAGGCACGAUGUCCUUGAUUUUAAGUAGCUCAUGUAGAAACUAGUUGUAAGUCUUUAGCGGAGAGACUGUACUGGAAUUAUAGGAUCUACUUAGGGGUUUGAGCUUCCCCACCCACUUAGAGUGACAGUUCACACCUAUAAAAACACAAAAGUCCGGGGGUUUAUUAAACAUUAGGAGAUCCAAAGAGCCAAGACUUCUACCUGUAAAAGUGGUGCUUCCUAAGCAGAAGAAAUGGAAUUUCUCAGAGAAUACAGCUUGGCUUGACCAAUGGACUGUACAAGGAAGAUUAGGAGGUAAUUACUGGGGUAAAAGAGAAAUGGUUGCAUCUUUCUGGAACACUCUAAUAAAACUGAAAGUUUUUCCUGAUUUCUUCUUUUAUUUGAUACAAGGGUCAAAUUUGAUACAUAAAGUCAUAAUGUCCCACAUGUACUUCUCAGGAACAUCUGUUUAGUCCUACUACAAAACUUGGGGAACAUGGUUUCCUAAUGUGGUACCAGUCGUCUCUUCAUGGAUGACUUCAGGAAGAAAUUCUGACUGGCAGACUCCACAAGUAUAAGACAAUAAGAGGCCAAUUUCUUUAUUCUUCUCCUCUUCUCCGCUUGUCCCCCCACCUCAUUAGCUUUGGGAGAAUAACACAGUGUGGAACAGAAAAAUAAGGAGCCUUGUUGUACUUCAUUGGCCUCAAGAGGUCUCAUCUAUUAAAUAGAUCCAUUAUGUUACUCUCAGAGAAAAUUAUAGUCAAAAAUAUUUCAAGUUUUAGGGCAGUACUGAAUAUAUAAGGGCUCUGUUACUUAAUCUCUGUGCUCUUAUCUUGGGGCGGCAAAGCUCAGUAGGGCUAUCUUGAAAGUAGCCUGAAAUCAAUUGGUCAGAUGAAAUCAAUUGGUCAGGAGGAGCCCAUCAGGAGGAUCAAGGACAUGGGUGACACAGUGAGUGUAAUUAUUAGUCAGGAUAGGUUAGGUUAGGCAUUAGUGGCAAAUUAUCUCCAAAUCUCAGUGGCUUGGUACAAUAAAGGCUUAUUGCUUAUUCAUGCAGCAUGUCUACUGCAGGUCCACAAGGGCUCUGUUCCACUCACAGAUCCAGAUUGUAACAUUCUUUGCCAUCUCAUAGCUACAUGAUCUAAACAUCAGCAGAAGGAAAGUGUCUUGGGUCAGGCUACCUGGAAAACAGAUCAAGAUAAAGAUUUCUGUGCAAAAAGGUUAUUGGGGAGGGAACUCUAAUUGAUAUCUGCCAGGGAUAGUGCAAGAAUGGUUGAGCAGACAAUUGUUGAACUACUUACUAUGUAUGUAGUAACAACAAAGGUCUUGACCAACCCAAAAGGGAGUCCUGGAGCUCAAAUGGUUCUUCACAGUUCUCUCACCUUAAGGCAAGGGACCUGGGCCUUUAUUAUCCCUUAUCAACCAGUCAUUUGAUUAGCUUGACCCCAGAGAGAGGUUAUGACCUUGAGUAAAGUGGCUCUCCUCUACUGAGGAUAAUUCCAGGAGAGCAACUCAGCUGAGAGCUGUCAGCAAUGGGAGGAAUCAGAGUCUCAGUCCUGAAGAGCAGAUCUGGGCAGCAUAUCAUAGCAUCCACCACAAGGGGGAAAGUGCGUGCACUUUUCAUUGCCUCCACCUGGGAGUGACAUAUGCCAUUUUUUGCUGUCAUUUCAAUGACCAAAAGGAGUCACAUGAUUCUAAUUGGAAGGAACCUGGG